This is a non-coding RNA of Meleagris gallopavo (turkey), 646 nucleotides long. The record is from RefSeq and is a predicted model, not a curated record. NCBI's taxonomy places the organism in Eukaryota, Metazoa, Chordata, Aves, Galliformes, Phasianidae.
GCCGGGCCGGUCUGGGCCUAGCCGAGCCUUACCGAGCCGUGUGGAGCGGAGCCUUGCGGGAGAGUUCGGUGGCUGAGGGAGUGUUGCCGCGAGCGUACACCGUCAUAGCACGCGGGAUCGUUAGGUCGCCGGCCGCCUGGUGCGGUGGCGUUGCUCUCUUCGGAAAAGUCGCCCGUCAGGAGUUCUCCGCCAACGUUAUCCGCUAGGUGGAGCCGUUGUGGACACAGAGGCACUCGCGAUGGCCUUGUCAUCUUCCCCCAGCUUCCAAAUAAAAGGACCUGGCUUUUAUCGUGUAAUAGCAGCAUCGACAAGCGGCAGGCGUGGAAUGAUAGAGGAAUGCGGUUGGAAGAAAGCUUCCAGGUAUCAUCUGUCGUAUGGCCCUGUCCCAAGACCGAACCAACUCUACCUGCAUGAUUUCUGACUGGUGCUCGUCAGCCUGUUCUUAACCAAUCUCGGAGUUUUGCCACCGCUUCCGCUUUCUUUUCAGUCACGGAUUUUGCGACGUGGAGAAUUAAUUUCUCCCGCAGAAACUUUCCCCAAUGGAAAAGACUUUGUGAUACUUGAGACGGCAAUUGUUGCGCUUCUGCUGUCUUUGAUACUCAGCUGCCCUUCUCCAUUUUUCUUUUUUAAUACGAACAAAACAUUU